GCCGGAGUGUUGGAAUGGUAGACAAGGAUCACUCAAAAUGAUUUGCCCGUAAGGGCGUGUGGGUUCGAAUCCCACCUCCGGCA
Molecule: transfer RNA, 83 nt
Filed under: Haloactinospora alba
Lineage: Bacteria; Bacillati; Actinomycetota; Actinomycetes; Streptosporangiales; Nocardiopsidaceae
Rfam family: tRNA
About the family: Transfer RNA (tRNA) molecules are approximately 80 nucleotides in length. Their secondary structure includes four short double-helical elements and three loops (D, anti-codon, and T loops).
Source: Rfam by way of RNAcentral